GGGGACCUGCGGAAGGAUCAUUAAAGAGUAAGGGUGCUCAGCGCCCGACCUCCAACCCUUUGUUGUUAAAACUACCUUGUUGCUUUGGCGGGACCGCUCGGUCCCGAGCCGCCGGGGCUUCGGCCCAGGCGAGCGCCCGCCAGAGUUAAACCAAACUCUUGUUAUUUAAACCGGUCGUCUGAGUUAAAAUUUUGAAUAAAUCAAAACUUUCAACAACGGAUCUCUUGGUUCUCGCAUCGAUGAAGAACGCAGCGAAAUGCGAUAAGUAAUGUGAAUUGCAGAAUUCAGUGAAUCAUCGAAUCUUUGAACGCACAUUGCGCCCCUUGGUAUUCCGAGGGGCAUGCCUGUUCGAGCGUCAUUACACCACUCAAGCUAUGCUUGGUAUUGGGCGACCGUCCUUUCGGGGGCGCGCCUCAAAGACCUCGGCGAGGCCUCACCGGCUUUAGGCGUAGUAGAAUUUAUUCGAACGUCUGUCAAAGGAGAGGACUUCUGCCGACUGAAACCUUAUUUUUUUUUACAGGUUGACCUCGGAUCAGGUAGGGAUACCCGCUGAACUUAAGCAUAUCAAUAAGCCGGAGGAA
RNAcentral lists this ribosomal RNA (581 nucleotides) under Aureobasidium iranianum. Its description in RNAcentral is "eukaryotic LSU rRNA". The stretch from base 205 to 358 matches the Rfam family "5.8S ribosomal RNA". Lineage: Eukaryota; Fungi; Ascomycota; Dothideomycetes; Dothideales; Saccotheciaceae. The record is from RNAcentral.